This 719-nucleotide ribosomal RNA is filed under the name uncultured Achromobacter sp. RNAcentral's name for it is "bacterial SSU rRNA". It matches the Rfam family "Bacterial small subunit ribosomal RNA", at positions 771 to 1492 of the family's 1533-position model. Lineage: Bacteria; Pseudomonadati; Pseudomonadota; Betaproteobacteria; Burkholderiales; Alcaligenaceae. The record is from RNAcentral.
AACCGGAUUAGAUACCCUGGUAGUCCACGCCCUAAACGAUGUCAACUAGCUGUUGGGGCCUUCGGGCCUUGGUAGCGCAGCUAACGCGUGAAGUUGACCGCCUGGGGAGUACGGUCGCAAGAUUAAAACUCAAAGGAAUUGACGGGGACCCGCACAAGCGGUGGAUGAUGUGGAUUAAUUCGAUGCAACGCGAAAAACCUUACCUACCCUUGACAUGUCUGGAAUGCCGAAGAGAUUUGGCAGUGCUCGCAAGAGAACCGGAACACAGGUGCUGCAUGGCUGUCGUCAGCUCGUGUCGUGAGAUGUUGGGUUAAGUCCCGCAACGAGCGCAACCCUUGUCAUUAGUUGCUACGAAAGGGCACUCUAAUGAGACUGCCGGUGACAAACCGGAGGAAGGUGGGGAUGACGUCAAGUCCUCAUGGCCCUUAUGGGUAGGGCUUCACACGUCAUACAAUGGUCGGGACAGAGGGUCGCCAACCCGCGAGGGGGAGCCAAUCCCAGAAACCCGAUCGUAGUCCGGAUCGCAGUCUGCAACUCGACUGCGUGAAGUCGGAAUCGCUAGUAAUCGCGGAUCAGCAUGUCGCGGUGAAUACGUUCCCGGGUCUUGUACACACCGCCCGUCACACCAUGGGAGUGGGUUUUACCAGAAGUAGUUAGCCUAACCGCAAGGGGGGCGAUUACCACGGUAAGGAUUUCAUGACUGGGGUGAAGUCCGUAAC